Molecule: ribosomal RNA, 573 nt
Filed under: uncultured bacterium
Lineage: Bacteria
Description: partial 16S ribosomal RNA
Rfam family: Bacterial small subunit ribosomal RNA
Source: RNAcentral
UGGGGAAUUUUGGACAAUGGGCGAAAGCCUGAUCCAGCAAUGCCGCGUGUGUGAAGAAGGCCUUCGGGUUGUAAAGCACUUUUGUCCGGAAAGAAAUCCUUGGCUCUAAUACAGUCGGGGGAUGACGGUACCGGAAGAAUAAGCACCGGCUAACUACGUGCCAGCAGCCGCGGUAAUACGUAGGGUGCAAGCGUUAAUCGGAAUUACUGGGCGUAAAGCGUGCGCAGGCGGUUUGCUAAGACCGAUGUGAAAUCCCCGGGCUCAACCUGGGAACUGCAUUGGUGACUGGCAGGCUAGAGUAUGGCAGAGGGGGGUAGAAUUCCACGUGUAGCAGUGAAAAUGCGUAGAGAUGUGGAGGAAUACCGCUGGCGAAGGCAGCCCCCUGGGCCAAUACUGACGCUCAUGCACGAAAGCGUGGGGAGCAAACAGGAUUAGAUACCCUGGUAGUCCACGCCCUAAAACGAUGUCAACUAGUUGUUGGGGAUUCAUUUCCUUAGUAACGUAGCUAACGCGUGAAGUUGACCGCCUGGGGAGUACGGUCGCAAGAUUAAAACUCAAAUGAAUUGACGGGGU